This 696-nucleotide ribosomal RNA is filed under the name Cheiracus sulcatus. Its description in RNAcentral is "partial 18S ribosomal RNA". It matches the Rfam family "Eukaryotic small subunit ribosomal RNA", at positions 389 to 910 of the family's 1831-position model. The record is from RNAcentral. Lineage: Eukaryota; Metazoa; Arthropoda; Arachnida; Trombidiformes; Diptilomiopidae.
ACAAGCCUGAGAAACGGCUAGUAGGACUAAGGUCUGCAGCAGGCGCGAAACUUACACAAUGCUAGAUUUCUAUUGAAUAAUUCAAUAAUAUAGCGAUGUAGUGAAGAAAAAUAACGAUGCACUUCCUUAAACAAGGUGGUGCAAUUGGAAUGAGACGACUUUAAACCAGUUAGUCGAGUAACAAAUGGAGGGCAAGUCUGGUGCCAGCAGCCGCGGUAAUUCCAGCUCCAUUAGCAUACAUUAAAGUUGUUGCGGUUAAAAAGCUCGUAGUUGAAUGUUUCGUAAGUUAAAUUUGAUUCUUGGUUCAUACUGUUCCAAGUUAAUCGUUUAAUUUACAGUUUCGUCACUUAAUCGAGUGCGAAGCGGGUCUAAAUUCAUUCUAUUUUAUAGAUUAGAAUCUAGACAUCUUUACCUUGAGAAAAUUAGAGUGCUCAGAGCAGGCAGUUGGGUCUAAACAACCCUUAAUGCUUGAAUAAUGUUGCAUGGAAUAAUAGAAUACGGCCUCGGUUCUAUUCUGUUGGUCUUAUAGAACAACAAACAGGUGGGUUAUUAUGGAUUGCAUUGGCUCUUAUGAAGUUUGCCUUGGGCCUUAAAAUCUAAGUUGCACUUCUUAAAUGGGCCCUUGUAUAUCCUAAAUCCACCGAGGCAAUGGUUAAAAGAAAUAGUCGCGGCGGCAUCAGUACUGCAUCGUGAGAG